This 496-nucleotide ribosomal RNA is filed under the name uncultured bacterium. Its description in RNAcentral is "partial 16S ribosomal RNA". It matches the Rfam family "Bacterial small subunit ribosomal RNA", at positions 28 to 507 of the family's 1533-position model. The record is from RNAcentral.
GAUGAACGCUGGCGGCGUGCCUAAUACAUGCAAGUCGAGCGAACGGACGAGAAGCUUGCUUUUCUGAUGUUAGCGGCGGACGGGUGAGUAACACGUGGAUAACCUACCUAUAAGACUGGGAUAACUUCGGGAAACCGGAGCUAAUACCGGAUAAUAUUUUGAACCGCAUGGUUCAAAAGUGAAAGACGGUCUUGCUGUCACUUAUAGAUGGAUCCGCGCUGCAUUAGCUAGUUGGAAGGUAACGGCUUACCAAGGCAACGAUGCAUAGCCGACCUGAGAGGGUGAUCGGCCACACUGGAACUGAGACACGGUCCAGACUCCUACGGGAGGCAGCAGUAGGGAAUCUUCCGCAAAGGGCGAAAGCCUGACGGAGCAACGCCGCGUGAGUGAUGAAGGUCUUCGGAUCGUAAAACUCUGUUAUUAGGGAAGAACAUAUGUGUAAGUAACUGUGCACAUCUUGACGGUACCUAAUCAGAAAGCCACGGCUAACUACGUG